GUGUUGUAUGAAAGGAGAGAAAGUUAGCACUCCCCUUGACAAGGUCGGACGACACACCCGGUCAAUUGCAGCACACAAUUGGCCACUAUUUUUU
This is a small nuclear RNA of Folsomia candida, 94 nucleotides long. The record is from Rfam. NCBI's taxonomy places the organism in Eukaryota, Metazoa, Arthropoda, Collembola, Entomobryomorpha, Isotomidae.